Molecule: ribosomal RNA, 482 nt
Filed under: Fusarium solani
Lineage: Eukaryota; Fungi; Ascomycota; Sordariomycetes; Hypocreales; Nectriaceae
Description: eukaryotic LSU rRNA
Rfam family: Eukaryotic large subunit ribosomal RNA
Source: RNAcentral
CAACAGGGAUUGCCCCAGUAACGGCGAGUGAAGCGGCAACAGCUCAAAUUUGAAAUCUGGCUCUCGGGCCCGAGUUGUAAUUUGUAGAGGAUGCUUUUGGUGAGGUGCCUUCCGAGUUCCCUGGAACGGGACGCCAUAGAGGGUGAGAGCCCCGUCUGGUUGGACACCGAUCCUCUGUAAAGCUCCUUCGACGAGUCGAGUAGUUUGGGAAUGCUGCUCUAAAUGGGAGGUAUAUGUCUUCUAAAGCUAAAUACCGGCCAGAGACCGAUAGCGCACAAGUAGAGUGAUCGAAAGAUGAAAAGAACUUUGAAAAGAGAGUUAAAAAGUACGUGAAAUUGUUGAAAGGGAAGCGCUUGUGACCAGACUUGGGCUUGGUUGAUCAUCCGGGGUUCUCCCCGGUGCACUCUUCCGGCUCAGGCCAGCAUCAGUUCGCCCUGGGGGACAAAGGCUUCGGGAAUGUGGCUCUCUCCGGGGAGUGUUAU